RNAcentral lists this ribosomal RNA (253 nucleotides) under uncultured bacterium. RNAcentral describes it as "partial 16S ribosomal RNA". It matches the Rfam family "Bacterial small subunit ribosomal RNA", at positions 524 to 776 of the family's 1533-position model. The record is from RNAcentral.
UACGUAGGGGGCAAGCGUUGUCCGGAAUCAUUGGGCGUAAAGCGCGUGUAGGCGGUCCGGUAAGUCGGCUGUGAAAGUCCAGGGCUCAACCCUGGGAUGCCGGUCGAUACUGCCGGACUAGAGUUCGGAAGAGGCGAGUGGAAUUCCCGGUGUAGCGGUGAAAUGCGCAGAUAUCGGGAGGAACACCAAUGGCGAAGGCAGCUCGCUGGGACGUUACUGACGCUAAAGCGCGACAGCAUGGGGAGCAAACGGG